Oncorhynchus kisutch (coho salmon) is the source of this 539-nucleotide long non-coding RNA. RefSeq lists it as uncharacterized. The transcript has 3 exons. Lineage: Eukaryota; Metazoa; Chordata; Actinopteri; Salmoniformes; Salmonidae. The record is from RefSeq and is a predicted model, not a curated record.
GGUAUCAUAGCUCGAGAUUUCUUUGAGGAAGAAAUCCUCAAGAGAUAUGGUGGACCCUAUGUCAGAGAGGUGUUUCUGGGACCACAUCGUUUCUUUCAAGGAAUGAGGGCCUCGUCGGGUGUCUGAAGUUAAAUCCUUCCUGUCUGACUCAUUGAAGAAAAAGUAUUCCUCCAGUACGGGACUCCAUCCAGGUCUCAUGUUCUACAAUUCCAUCCACAACCAAGUUGUUCCGCCUUGAUUGUCCCUCCAUUGACUUUGUUAUCAAGGAUUCACACACAGAACUGAUGUCCUCUCUCAAUGACUCACAGAUUGCUGUCAUCCUGCGUUCUCCUUUUUCAACGCAUCAAGCUGACCCUGGGAGAACUGUAAACUGUUCUUCAGGUCCUGGACCAGUCUGGUCCUGGAACUCGCACCCCUUUUUCCACAUUUUGUUGUGUUACAGCCUGAAUUUAAAAUGUAUUAAAUUGUUGCGGAAAGACUGAUACGUGUUUGAUAGUGUCUUGGUGCUGUAUUGUUUGUCCUGUUUGUUUGUUAAUGUU